UGGGGAAUUUUGGGCAAUGGGCGAAAGCCUGACCCAGCAACGCCGCGUGAAGGAUGAAGUAUUUCGGUAUGUAAACUUCGAAAGAAUAGGAAGAAUAAAUGACGGUACUAUUUAUAAGGUCCGGCUAACUACGUGCCAGCAGCCGCGGUAAUACGUAGGGACCAAGCGUUGUUCGGAUUUACUGGGCGUAAAGGGCGCGUAGGCGGCAAUUCAAGUCAUCUGUGAAAUCUCCGGGCUUAACUCGGAACGGUCAGAUGAUACUGCUUUGCUAGAGUGCAGAAGGGGCAAUCGGAAUUCUUGGUGUAGCGGUGAAAUGCGUAGAUAUCAAGAGGAACACCUGAGGUGAAGACGGGUUGCUGGGCUGACACUGACGCUGAGGCGCGAAAGCCAGGGGAGCAAACGGGAUUAGAUACCCCCGUAGUCCCUGAGCGGGCUGGCAAGGCGCAU
RNAcentral lists this ribosomal RNA (447 nucleotides) under uncultured bacterium. RNAcentral describes it as "bacterial SSU rRNA". It matches the Rfam family "Bacterial small subunit ribosomal RNA", at positions 355 to 825 of the family's 1533-position model. The record is from RNAcentral.